Non-coding RNA from Mycena epipterygia, 97 nucleotides. NCBI's taxonomy places the organism in Eukaryota, Fungi, Basidiomycota, Agaricomycetes, Agaricales, Mycenaceae. The record is from the annotation of a GenBank genome assembly.
GGCUGGGUGGUGGAAUGUUUAACACGCCUGCUUCCAUUAUGCAAAUGGCUUUUCACGUUUACAGCGGGAGAUCGAUGUUCGAAUCAAGGUCGGGCCG